CUCUUCCAGAUCUACUUCAUGUGCUCCACAGAGCUGUGCCUACCGUCUGAGCGGCAGUGUGUGGAGGGCUGCUUUGAUGGCCGCAAAAUCCCAGUGCUGGAGAACCCUGAUGCUGACAGGCGCUGUGUCAGGACCCCCUGCCCAGGAAAGGAUGAGGGCCCCAAGGACUGAGGGGUUCUUGCCUGCUGCUUCAGGGACCAGCAACCUGUGUCUGAAGAGAUGGUUCUGUUGGAAGUUGGUCCUAAUAAAGAUGUUGAAAGUG
Molecule: non-coding RNA, 262 nt
Organism: Lepisosteus oculatus (spotted gar)
Lineage: Eukaryota; Metazoa; Chordata; Actinopteri; Semionotiformes; Lepisosteidae
Source: RefSeq, a predicted model, not a curated record